This 358-nucleotide ribosomal RNA is filed under the name uncultured fungus. Its description in RNAcentral is "LSU rRNA". It matches the Rfam family "Eukaryotic large subunit ribosomal RNA", at positions 65 to 424 of the family's 3401-position model. The record is from RNAcentral. Lineage: Eukaryota; Fungi.
CCAACAGGGAUUACCUCAGUAACGGCGAGUGAAGCGGUAACAGCUAAAUUUGAAAUCUGGCCUCACGGUCCGAGUUGUAAUUUGUAGAGGAUGCUUCGAGCAUGGUCUGGCCUAAGUUCCUUGGAACAGGACGUCAUAGAGGGUGAGAAUCCCGUAUGCGGCCAGGUGCCUACGCUCAUGUGAAGCUCCUUCGACGAGUCGAGUUGUUUGGGAAUGCAGCUCAAAAUGGGUGGUAAAUUUCAUCUAAAGCUAAAUAUUGGCCAGAGACCGAUAGCGCACAAGUAGAGUGAUCGAAAGAUGAAAAGCACUUUGGAAAGAGAGUUAAACAGUACGUGAAAUUGUUGAAAGGGAAGCGCUU